RNAcentral lists this non-coding RNA (162 nucleotides) under Phenylobacterium sp. SCN 69-14. RNAcentral's name for it is "6S RNA". It matches the Rfam family "6S / SsrS RNA". From Rfam's summary of the family: E. coli 6S RNA was the first non coding RNA to be sequenced, but its function was unknown until recently. It consists of 184 nucleotides that fold into an extended hairpin structure with a large single-stranded internal bulge. The 6S RNA specifically associates with RNA polymerase holoenzyme containing the sigma70 specificity factor. The record is from RNAcentral. Lineage: Bacteria; Pseudomonadati; Pseudomonadota; Alphaproteobacteria; Caulobacterales; Caulobacteraceae.
GUCGUGCUGCGGUUCGCGUCGAAGGCAAUCUAUCCCAGCGACCUUAAUUUCUUCGAAGGGAGCUGUCCCUGCUUGGUCCCGUGGGGCCAGGCACUACGGCGCCCACCUGGUCAGCCAGGUCGAGGGGAUUAAACCGACCUUCACGGCUCUCGCGGCGCCGCC